This 4740-nucleotide long non-coding RNA is filed under the name Papio anubis (olive baboon). Its description in RNAcentral is "lncRNA (ENSPANG00000044477.1)". Lineage: Eukaryota; Metazoa; Chordata; Mammalia; Primates; Cercopithecidae. The record is from RNAcentral.
AAAAAAGUUUGAAAAACUGUAUGUUUUGAAGUCAGACUGCAGAUGUUCAUGACCCUGCUCAGCCACAAAACUGUGUGGCUUUGGGUAAAUUACUUAACUUCUCUGAAUGGCUUAAAUUCUCAGUUUCCUAAUCUGUAAAAUGGAAAUAAUAAUCGCAUCGACCUCCCAGUUGUUUUGAAGAAUGUGGCAGAUUGUGUUUUUCAAAGAUGGUCAUAACCACAUCUCUCAUUCCUUAUGCCUUUGCAGAAUCUCGCCAUUUCCUCAUCAAGAAGUUGAAUGGAAGUCCCCUCUCCUUGAACGUAGGUGGGCAUUUGAAUUGCCUCAAUCAGCAGAGUAGCGUGGAGGUGAUGCUAUAACUUCUGAGGCCAGGUCAUGACAAUGCCAUGCACUAAGUUCCUAUUUCCCAGAACCUGGCUGCCAUGUUGUGAGGAAGCCCAAGAAGCCCAUGGAGAGGAAUGGAGACCCCACCCUCAUGCCCCCAGUGGAUAGCUCCAGCUGAGAUCCCAGCUAACAGCCAGAACCAACGUGCCAGUCAUGCAGCUCCAGUGCAAGCCCCAAGGAGGCGCUCCGCCGAGGACACUGCAACUCCCCUGCCUCACCCAGUUUCAUGCAUUACAGAUUCGCAUGCAUGCUAUGAAAUUCAAAUGUGUGGAAAUCGAGCAUUGGUCCGCCGUGUUAUAAAGAGGUGAGCAUUUAAUCCCUGGAGGGUUAAACUAGAUGAUCAAGUCUCUGAGUAAACUGUUUAGGCACGGUCAUUGAUAGUCUACUUCCAGAAUUUUGUACGUGUCCAUUUCGUUAGCUCUUUUCCUUCCCAGUUGAACAUUUAUCUGGGUGACUUUUCAUCCAAUAAGUAGCUGACUAAGGUGAAAGAUUUGCCACUUCUGGCCUGUUCCGUGCAGUUUUCUUCUUGGUCUCCAACAUACCGGGUUUAUGAGACCAGCCCUUCUUCCUCUGGGGAUAAACGCUUCCGGGUGUCGGGUCUUCACUCAUUUCGAUAACACUUUUAUGAAACCAAGGGCAAUAUAAUAUUCAAACAAUUGCACAGGACGUUCUGCAGAGCAUCAGCAAAUGUAGAGAGAGGCUCAAGGGAGCCUGGUUUAGGGAUGUGGGCCCCUUGGGAGAAGCCGGGGUUCCCAGCAGCUGAGCCAACCCCAUGGGACGUGCACAGGAUGUGUGUUCAGGGAGACACACAUCAGAGACCGCUGGACACUUCCUCACCCGGGCCCUGGACUGGGUAUCUUCAUCUUGAUCAAGAUUCAGGAAGCAUGGAGCCCCACCCUCACUUUCUACCCCACAACCUGUAGCCCCUGCAUCUCCCAGGGUGGAGUCCUCCUGCAUGCCAGCCUGGCUACAACCACACAGCAGGAAAGGACCAGGCUGUGGGUACUGGCAUGGGCUGAGACCCCUAGCUUCAGGCUGGUUCUGGGCACAUACCAGGGAGAAAGGUUUGUCCAGGAGAACGUAUCUGCUGGAGGAGCACCCCAGAUUAGAUCCAAGGUAUGUGUGUGAAGGAUCAGAAAGGGUAAGACAAAGAGCAUCUUUCUGACUCUUCCCCUACACAGGCCAGGUCAAGCCCCCUGGUGCUCUCCCUAGAGCUCCAGCACCUUCUUCUAAAGCAGCACACACCACGUGCAGUUUUUCUCCUGUUGGAGCCAUUCCUAGGUAAUGUUGGUCUCCCUCCAGAGCGGGAGCUCUGUGAGGGCAAGGUUGAUGUCUUUCAUCACUCCCCACUCUAUCUUUCUUCUUCAUUGCUGCGUUCCCAGGACCUAGUGAAGGGCAACGAUGGGCAAUAAAUGUUAGGUGGAUGAAUGAAUGCAUGGAGUCACUAUGAAGGUGAAAAGGCUCGUGUUAGCAAACGCUUAUUGAGUAUUGAGUGCUUACUGUGUGCCAGGCACUGCUCUUAGCACUUCCACGUGCUAACCACCACUGGAGAAAGAAGUAGUACAAGGAAGGGACUUAAUACAUGCUUCCGGAUGCCUAUGGAGGUAAAUUCCACUGGAGGCCCUUCAGGGACCGCAGGGCUGCCCCCAAUUUUCCCAAAUCUGCUGUAUCCCAGGUAGAACCCAGUAUGAAGUCAUCCUGAGCAAAUGGAUUCAAUUCUCCCUUGCUCUGCAGGAGUGAGAGCUGUUCCACGCAGGUGUCUCUCAGGAAAGCCCAGAUCUCUCAGGCUGCUUUGAUCUGGGGCCAGCAGACCCUGGCAGCUCUUUCUGUCUGUCCCUUGGGCUGCACAUUUCCAGCCCUGAGCCUUUGCCUUCAGUUAUUCCAACAGUGGAGAUGAAACAGGGCAGGCAGCAAUGGGCGUCAGAUUUCCUGGACCAGCAGGACUUGGAAUUUUACGAGAUCUUGAGUUGGAAGGUAUGUGACAGAUCAUUCCACGUGUUCAUUCGUCCAUUCCCUCAGGGGCAGAGAAGGAUUCCUCACUACAACCACUUUCCUCUUGGCACACAAGGAGGCCGCAUUUCCCAGUCUCCUUUGCUCUUAGCUGUGGUCGUGUGAUUGAGAUCUGGUCCAUGGAGGCAGACGUGACAUAAGCCACAUUUAGGCCAGGCCCAUAAACCACCCCCGACUCCCACAACUCCCCCCACCACUUUCUCUCUUUCUCCACCUGCAGUUGAAAGGAGGAGACUCUGGCAUCCUAGAGAAUGGAAGAGCCACGAAAUGGAAGUAGCUUGGGCCCUGGGAUGGCUGCCCACUCAUGAGAAACACUUCGUGGCUUUCAGAGGCAGAGAACAAAAUGAUGGUGUUAAGCCACUGAGAACUUGGGGCUCACCUAUUAGAGCAUUGAGUGUUAUCCCAGCGAGUACAGCUCAUUGAGCAAGUACUUAUUGAGCAUCUACUAUGUGCCAGGCAGUGGGCUAAGCUCUGAGAUAGUAGUGAACGGGUGGAAAAAGUUCCUACCCUUUGGGGAGCUUCCUUUGUAGUUGGAGAGACCGAAUAAACACAGGAUCAUUUCAUAUGGUGGUAAGUGCAGCCAAGAAAAAGAAAGCAGGGUCAUGACAGAGAGAGGGAUAGGGUGGGAGAGGAGUUUUUAAAUCAAGUCGUCAGGAAAGCUUUCCUUGAGAAGGGAAUAUAAUAUCUGCCGUGAGAUUUGAAGACUGAAAAGAAGCUGGCUGUACCUAGAUCUGCAGGAAGAGGAUUCCAGGCAUGGGGAAGAGCAUUAGCAAGGCCCUGAGGAGGGAACAAGGUGGCUGGAGAGAAUGGAGGAGUGAGUGGAAAUGGGUUUGGAGUGGGAGGUGGGAAUCAGACUUGCAGGACAAUGGAGAUUAUACAAAGGGGUCUGAAUGUUAGCCAAGAGUAUUUUAAGUGUUUUAUGACCUGUGCAUUGUGCUAAGCAUUGGAGAAGAUCAAAUGAGUAGCAAAAAUAGACACUGCCCAAUUCUCUUAGAGCUCAGAUUCCAGGUGACUGACUACCUAUCUGAUACUUGAAUCCUCUCUCAAGUGUCUCUGCCAAGCUGUCUUUGCUUGGCUGCCUCCAGUGACAGGGGGCUCACCACCUAGUGAAGCAGCCCAUUGCAUCUCUGCAUGGUUGUGUUGGCUCAAAGUCCUUCCUUAGAUUGCUUCCCGGGGGCCUCUGCUCUGUGGCUCUGGGAUUAAGUAAGUCACCCCUUUCUGUCUUAUGGAAUCAGGGCAGCUACUGCUUUGCCCAGUCAUCAGGGAUAGCAAGGAGGAUAAGACAAAGCCCUUGCCAGAGCUCCUAAUAGCUCAUGUCUUUCAGGAGAGGUCUUUCAGGCAGAGAGAUGCUUUGAUACAUUGACCAAUGUCUCCCCGCCCCCAUCCUUCCUCUGUUCAGGAACCACAGGGUGCUCUGUAUUUUCUGCCUCAGGGAUGGAUGUUAUAACAAGAGGAUAAGAGAGUCAAGUAUGUGGUUUUUGGAUUUCAAAAGCUUAUUUUAAGUCACUAGAAUCUGGCUUUUGAGCCUUAAAAGUAUGAGUUUUGAAGGAUCCAGGGUACAACACUUAGAAAAUAACAGACAACGUGGAAGACUGUGAUGAGUCAAAGAUGGGUGUUGGCAUCUCAGCAGAGAGGGCAGCUCCUGGGUGGGGGACAGAGGAAGGGUCUAGAGAUGAGACAGUCCCCACAGAGGGCAGGGGGAACCUCACCUCGUAUGUAGGAGGGGUAGACUCACAAAGAAGCAAAUUUUCUUUUGAGAGGAUACAGAGAUUAGCUAGGGUGAAAGCAGUGGCUAAUAGCUCACAAAUAUCCUAGUUGAUGAAGCUGGGCAUUCAUUCCCACCUCCUGCUAUCUUGCUGCUAAUUGAUCAGCAUUUCUUCAUUCAGUCCAGGGCCUACUGGAGAGACCCUCUCUUCUGCUGGGUUUGCCACACCACCGAGUGUAAGCUUGAGGGCGCAUCUUGCCACCCUGAUGGGAGAGCCUGCCUGACAACAAAGUAGAACGAGAGAAAAAUUAAGUCGAAAGAGACACGCAGCUUCCUGUUGGUAUUGUGGAGACCCUGGAUGCAGCCACACCUGAAGCUGUAGCUUCAAGAGUUUUCAGGCAUUCAAGAAAACAGAUUUAUUAUUCUUGCUUGUUUCUUAAGCCACUGUGAGCUGGGUUUCUGUCACCUGCAACCAGGAGUCCAGAUAAUACCACCUAGCAGAAGAGAGUGAAAGUGGGAAGUCAUUGAUUGUGUCAGGCGGGAUGCUUUCUCACUGGAGUCCCCCACAACAGACGAGGUGGCUGAAACUCAGAGAAGACAUUGAACUAGCCCAGGAAUAGCCAAAGUUUGAACAUGGCUCUGCU